UUGAAGAGCUGAUAAAAAAAAAAAAAUACAACUUUAGCUCAGAAAUUAGCCGAAUUAUAUGCUAGAUGUUGAAUACGAAACUUCUGUGUAUUCAAAAACAAUACCGGUUAAAGAAGUUGAACAAAUAUUGCCAUAAUUUGUAUGAUAACCGUACUGCAAGAUACAAACAGCAAUACAAUCAUUUAGACAAUCACAGACUAAUUACAAUAGUUGAUAAAUAAUGUGGCGUGCAUGGAUAUAGUUUAAUAUCAGAUUUGCCUGCAUAUCAGUUUAAAAAAAAAAAUAACAAAAUCAAACCGAUAUAUGGAAAGAAAAAAAAUUUAGUUCACACCAGA
RNAcentral lists this long non-coding RNA (335 nucleotides) under Mytilus galloprovincialis (Mediterranean mussel). The record is from RNAcentral. Lineage: Eukaryota; Metazoa; Mollusca; Bivalvia; Mytilida; Mytilidae.